CCUACGGGAGGCAGCAGUGGGGAAUUUUCCGCAAUGGGCGAAAGCCUGACGGAGCAACGCCGCGUGAGGGAUGAAGGCCUCUGGGCUGUAAACCUCUUUUAUCAAGGAAGAAGAUCUGACGGUACUUGAUGAAUAAGCCACGGCUAAUUCCGUGCCAGCAGCCGCGGUAAUACGGGAGUGGCAAGCGUUAUCCGGAAUUAUUGGGCGUAAAGCGUCCGCAGGCGGUCUUGUAAGUCUGUCGUUAAAGCGUGGAGCUCAACUCCAUUUCGGCGGUGGAAACUACAGGACUAGAGUGUGGUAGGGGCAGAGGGAAUUCCCGGUGUAGCGGUGAAAUGCGUAGAUAUCGGGAAGAACACCAGUGGCGAAGGCGCUCUGCUGGGCCAUAACUGACGCUCAUGGACGAAAGCUAGGGGAGCGAAAGGGAUUAGAUACCCCUGUAGUCCUAGCCGUAAACGAUGAACACUAGGUGUCGGGGGAAUCGACCCCCUCGGUGUCGUAGCUAACGCGUUAAGUGUUCCGCCUGGGGAGUACGCACGCAAGCGUGAAACUCAAAGGAAUUGACGG
This 564-nucleotide ribosomal RNA is filed under the name uncultured bacterium. RNAcentral describes it as "bacterial SSU rRNA". It matches the Rfam family "Bacterial small subunit ribosomal RNA", at positions 338 to 916 of the family's 1533-position model. The record is from RNAcentral.